RNAcentral lists this ribosomal RNA (1082 nucleotides) under Cladosporium cladosporioides. RNAcentral's name for it is "eukaryotic LSU rRNA". The stretch from base 494 to 1082 matches the Rfam family "Eukaryotic large subunit ribosomal RNA", at positions 1 to 511 of the family's 3401-position model. The record is from RNAcentral. Lineage: Eukaryota; Fungi; Ascomycota; Dothideomycetes; Cladosporiales; Cladosporiaceae.
CUCGUAGGUGACCUGCGGAGGGAUCAUUACAAGUGACCCCGGUCUAACCACCGGGAUGUUCAUAACCCUUUGUUGUCCGACUCUGUUGCCUCCGGGGCGACCCUGCCUUCGGGCGGGGGCUCCGGGUGGACACUUCAAACUCUUGCGUAACUUUGCAGUCUGAGUAAACUUAAUUAAUAAAUUAAAACUUUUAACAACGGAUCUCUUGGUUCUGGCAUCGAUGAAGAACGCAGCGAAAUGCGAUAAGUAAUGUGAAUUGCAGAAUUCAGUGAAUCAUCGAAUCUUUGAACGCACAUUGCGCCCCCUGGUAUUCCGGGGGGCAUGCCUGUUCGAGCGUCAUUUCACCACUCAAGCCUCGCUUGGUAUUGGGCAACGCGGUCCGCCGCGUGCCUCAAAUCGACCGGCUGGGUCUUCUGUCCCCUAAGCGUUGUGGAAACUAUUCGCUAAAGGGUGUUCGGGAGGCUACGCCGUAAAACAACCCCAUUUCUAAGGUUGACCUCGGAUCAGGUAGGGAUACCCGCUGAACUUAAGCAUAUCAAUAAGCGGAGGAAAAGAAACCAACAGGGAUUGCUCUAGUAACGGCGAGUGAAGCAGCAAUAGCUCAAAUUUGAAAUCUGGCGUCUUCGACGUCCGAGUUGUAAUUUGUAGAGGAUGCUUCUGAGUAACCACCGACCUAAGUUCCUUGGAACAGGACGUCAUAGAGGGUGAGAAUCCCGUAUGCGGUCGGAAAGGUGCUCUACACGUAGCUCCUUCGACGAGUCGAGUUGUUUGGGAAUGCAGCUCUAAAUGGGAGGUAAAUUUCUUCUAAAGCUAAAUAUUGGCCAGAGACCGAUAGCGCACAAGUAGAGUGAUCGAAAGAUGAAAAGCACUUUGGAAAGAGAGUUAAAAAGCACGUGAAAUUGUUAAAAGGGAAGGGAUUGCAACCAGACUUGCUCGCGGUGUUCCGCCGGUCUUCUGACCGGUCUACUCGCCGCGUUGCAGGCCAGCAUCGUCUGGUGCCGCUGGAUAAGACUUGAGGAAUGUAGCUCCCUCGGGAGUGUUAUAGCCUCUUGUGAUGCAGCGAGCGCCGGGCGAGGUCCGCG